RNAcentral lists this long non-coding RNA (301 nucleotides) under Heterocephalus glaber (naked mole-rat). RNAcentral's name for it is "lncRNA (ENSHGLG00100042433.1)". The record is from RNAcentral. Lineage: Eukaryota; Metazoa; Chordata; Mammalia; Rodentia; Bathyergidae.
AAGCGAUAACUGACGAUAAUUACUCCUGGCUGACUGUGGUCAAAAGUUGCAAAUUGGCAGAGGAAACCAGCCUGGAGCACUGGCCUUGGAGCAGGUUUGGGGAGCAGUGCUAGAGUGCAGUUUUAGAGCUGGCAGCAGCAGCAGCCCAGGAGGAGGCUAAUGACCCGAAGCUGCCAUUCAUUCAGUUUGAGAACCUAAAUGACUUCAAUAUUUGGUACAGAAGAAACAAGUUGGGCAUGGUGGCACACGAUGUAAUCUCAGCAAAAGUUGAAAUCCCAGAAGAAGCAAGCUUACCUCCAGC